RNAcentral lists this ribosomal RNA (463 nucleotides) under uncultured bacterium. Its description in RNAcentral is "partial 16S ribosomal RNA". It matches the Rfam family "Bacterial small subunit ribosomal RNA", at positions 28 to 507 of the family's 1533-position model. The record is from RNAcentral.
GAUGAACGCUGACAGAAUGCUUAACACAUGCAAGUCUUUGGCGAAGCUGUGCUUGCACAGCCUAGCCAAGGCGGACGGGUGAGUAACGCGUAAGGAACUUGCCCUGCAGUCAGGGAUAACAGACGGAAACGACUGAUAAGACCUGGUAAAGUCAGGCGGACUCAUGUCCAGCCUGAUGAAAAGAGAUGCUGCAGGAGAGCCUUGCGUCCUAUUAGCUUGUUGGUGGGGUAACGGCCCACCAAGGCGAUGAUAGGUAGCCGGCCUGAGAGGGUGGACGGCCACAAGGGGACUGAGAUACGGCCCUUACUCCUACGGGAGGCAGCAGUGGGGAAUAUUGGACAAGGGGGGCAACCCUGAUCCAGCAAUUCUGUGUGCACGAUGAAGGUUUUCGGAGUGUAAAGUGCUUUCAGCAGGGAAGAAAAAAAUGACGGUACCUGCAGAAGAAGCGACGGCUAAAUACGUG